GACCCCUGAACUGGGACUCCCUACUGGGUUAGAGCCCCGUCUGAAGGAUUCCGAGCCUCUGUAAAGCUCCUUCGACGAGUCGAGUAGUUUGGGAAUGCUGCUCUAAAUGGGAGGUAAACCCCUUCUAAAGCUAAAUACUGGCCAGAGACCGAUAGCGCACAAGUAGAGUGAUCGAAAGAUGAAAAGCACUUUGAAAAGAGAGUUAAACAGCACGUGAAAUUGUUGAAAGGGAAGCGCUUGUGACCAGACUUGCGCCUGGCAGCUCAGCCGUCCCUCCGGGGCGGUGCACUCUGCCGGCUCAGCCAGCAUCAGUUCGCGGUCGGGGAGAAAAGCGGCGGGAACGUGGCUCUUCGGAGUGUUAUAGCCCGCUGCAAUACCCUUCGCGGACUGAGGUUCGCGCAAUGGAUGCUGGCGUAAUGGUUAUCAGCGACCCGUCUUGAAACACGGACCAAGGAGUCGUCCUAAUAUGCCAGUGCUAGGGUGUAAAACCCUUGCGCGGAAUGAAAGUGAACGGAAGUGAAAGCUUCGGCGCAUCAUCGACCGAUCCUGAAGUCUCGGGAUGGGAUUGAGUUAGACAUAUUGGGCCGGACCCGAAGAAGUGACUAUGCCUGGUAGGGUGAAGCCGAGGAAACUUGGUGGAGGCUCCACGGUUUGACUGCAAAUCGACGCAAAAUGGGCUNG
This 681-nucleotide ribosomal RNA is filed under the name Marinospora longissima. RNAcentral's name for it is "eukaryotic LSU rRNA". It matches the Rfam family "Eukaryotic large subunit ribosomal RNA", at positions 185 to 920 of the family's 3401-position model. Lineage: Eukaryota; Fungi; Ascomycota; Sordariomycetes; Microascales; Halosphaeriaceae. The record is from RNAcentral.